This 499-nucleotide ribosomal RNA is filed under the name uncultured bacterium. Its description in RNAcentral is "partial 16S ribosomal RNA". It matches the Rfam family "Bacterial small subunit ribosomal RNA", at positions 28 to 507 of the family's 1533-position model. The record is from RNAcentral.
GACGAACGCUGGCGGCGUGCCUAAUACAUGCAAGUCGAGCGAAGUUUUUCUGGUGCUUGCACUAGAAAAACUUAGCGGCGAACGGGUGAGUAACACGUAAAGAACCUGCCUCAUAGACUGGGACAACUAUUGGAAACGAUAGCUAAUACCGGAUAACAGUAUUUCUCGCAUGAGAGAUAUUUAAAAGUUGUUUAUGCUAACACUAUGAGAUUGCUUUGCGGUGCAUUAGCUAGUUGGUGGGGUAAAGGCCCACCAAGGCGACGAUGCAUAGCCGACCUGAGAGGGUGAUCGGCCACACUGGGACUGAGACACGGCCCAGACUCCUACGGGAGGCAGCAGUAGGGAAUCUUCCGCAAUGGGCGAAAGCCUGACGGAGCAACGCCGCGUGAGUGAAGAAGGAUUUCGGUUCGUAAAGCUCUGUUGUUAGGGAAGAAUGGAUAUGUAGUAACUAUACAUGUAAGAGACGGUACCUAACCAGAAAGCCACGGCUAACUACGUG